CUGGAGCCAUCGCAUGAAUAUGUACACUUUAAAAUUCACAAAAGGACAUUCUCACAGGUUCACUGGAGCUUAAUGAGUAGUUAAUAUAUCUGCACCGAAGUGACAGGUAAGGAAAUGGGAGAAGUGUUACUCAGCAAUGGCUAACCGGAACAUCUUCCAUUAUUAUUGAUUAUAUGAGUUUGAAAUUAUGAAAAUUGUUGGAGAGUUUCCUUAUCAAAUCUUUCCUAUGUAGUAAUAUAGUUGGAGCCAUCACAAAGCUGAAUUUUGAAGCAGGAAUUUAUUUUGAAAAAGCUGUACACGACUUGCUUGUGUUAGAGGAUCAUUGUGGUCAAAGGUUAUAGGAGGCAAAGAAAUUCCCAUCCUAGAUGCAGAAGAGCCUGCAAACUGAGCAAGAUAUAUGUAAAUGCAAGAUAUAUGUAAAUGCAAGAUAUCAGAAACAGGUCUAGGAGUGGAUGGUGACCCCUUUCUACAUGUUACUCAGUUACUACAAUAUAUGUUAAUCAAGUUGAAUAAUAUAUGUCAUUCAAACCUACUAAACAUCAAGCUACAACGAAUGACACUGUGAAUAUAUUUUCAUUGCUCCUCUAAUUAUGUCUUUGAUAUUGAUUUUGACGAAUGGAACUAGAGAGGGCAUAAAAGUAUCUGUAUUGCUCUUGAGACAUACCCCGUGCCAACCAUGGUGUCACUCAUGUAAUAAACUUUUAACAAAUA
Molecule: long non-coding RNA, 711 nt
Filed under: Homo sapiens (human)
Lineage: Eukaryota; Metazoa; Chordata; Mammalia; Primates; Hominidae
Description: HSALNT0248518
Source: RNAcentral